RNAcentral lists this long non-coding RNA (1294 nucleotides) under Coturnix japonica (Japanese quail). RNAcentral's name for it is "lncRNA (ENSCJPG00005001380.1)". Lineage: Eukaryota; Metazoa; Chordata; Aves; Galliformes; Phasianidae. The record is from RNAcentral.
AGGGCUUGCAAAAUAAGCACACUUGGGCUUAGUCAUGAUCUCUGUUUCAGAGUCUGUGAAAGUUUUCUACCCUUGUGCAAGGGAAUAUGAGGGUCUUAGAAGGAAGUCUGUCACUCUAGAGGGUCCUAGAGGGUCUAGAGGGUAAGUAGAAGAUUCAAACUUCUCACUGAAUUUAAAGCUAUAUAUAGUAUCAGUUCUGCUCUUUGCUUGUGUCUAAAUGUGGAAUGUAGCAGCAAGACACCAUCUUUCCCACAGCCACCUGGCUUAAUCAGGGAACAAGGCCAAGGGAAAGUCAUCAGAGGAGAGGAGAAGUGGAUUGCAAAAGGGGCUCCAGCAGUCUUUUCACACACUAUUAAAAAAGUAAAUUCCCAAAAGGUUGAUUUUUCUACUCAUGCCUCUCCUCACAAAUUCAGAAUGAAGUUUUCCAUGUGACAGAGGAAACAGGCUGGACAGGAACCCGACUGCUCUCUGAAUAGCAGCCAUACCACGAAUGAUUACUUGCAAUCUUCAUCUGUUGACAGAAUGAUUUGAAUUGAUUUAAAUAGCUCCCAGAUGGCUGGCUUAACACUUAAAUCUAAUAUGCAUCUAAGAUUCAUUGUCAUUACUGAUUUCUCAGUCAACCUAUCAUUUCUGAGUAGUGCCACAUCUCAGGUCUGUUGUGUGCAUUAGAGCUGAAUGCCCUUGGAGACCUUCUGGCCAGUCACCCGUGACCUGACUUCUGAAAUGAAACUUGAUGUCUGCCCAUGCCAUUAUUCUCCUGGCUACCAAGGAAAAGAAAUAGAAGAUAAACAAUCAUCUCCUGAGCUAUUUUCCACAAGAAUUGCAAGAUCCAAAGUGCAUUAAUAGAAUGGCAUUGCUGGGACUCACAAGUCUGCUUGGAAACCACCCGUUAAAAGUUAACUUACUCUUGGACCAUCUGAAUCUCCAAUACAGCUUUUGCACACAUUAUAUGAAGAUGCUACUGGAACAUUCAUGUAUCGUGUUAUCCACAACGAGAAAAGCAGCUUAAGGAAGCACUGAAGCACUUUUAUUAAGGGUAAAGCUUCUUCACAACUGAACGUCUACUAUCCAUUUGACUGUGCAGCAUGGAAUCCACAGUCCAAAGCUAUACUGAGUUCUGAUACUCUUUAGAUAAACUUUUGGAAUUUAGCCUUACUUCUAAUCUAUAUCCAGCUUAAUUUCAGUAUCUAUCGACUUUACAGGUUGUAGCCAAGACAUUAAAUCUGCAGCACUCUGGAAUAACCACGUCACAUUUUUCAAUAAUAAAAUUAGGGAACUGCUAGAAAUGCUUUCA